Molecule: long non-coding RNA, 1607 nt
Organism: Molossus molossus (Pallas's mastiff bat)
Lineage: Eukaryota; Metazoa; Chordata; Mammalia; Chiroptera; Molossidae
Exons: 6
Source: RefSeq, a predicted model, not a curated record
CAGAGAUAUAAAUGGAGUCAUCGAGUCAUCACAAAUUGGUGACUUUUAUCACCAUGUGACUUAAAGAGAAUACCCGGGGAGUGUUGAUAGCAAAGAGGACCAAGGAUUGAGGCUUGGGUCUCUCCAUUGCUUAGCAGUAGGGAAGAAAUAGGAGGAACCAUCAGAAGCGACGGAGAAUGACUGGGCAUUGCGGAGAUUCUUGAACUUUUGCUACUCCUGUUAUUUAGAAUGAGAGUAUUGGAUUCCUAGGAGUAGGAGAGAAACCCAUAACAAGGCUGGUCCCAUAGUUUUGACCUGAAAGAUGAGAACAAAAAUCCCAGCCAAUGAAGGAACAUAGAUACAGAAGGAAGGAAACUGCCUGUGGCAGACACAGAGGUGCACUGCGGAGCCCCUUGAGGGAAGGACUCACCCACCACCCAGCUGUCAACAGACAACUUCCUGCGUCAGGGUCUUCCCCAGCUGCAGAGACCCACAUCACCCAAGGUCAUGCCCUGCCUGAGCAUCUGUUGACAAAGGCCUGGCCAUUUCAACUUGACACAGGACAACCUGGACAGGCCAUCCUCACUCAAGAACUUACAUCAGGUCAUGUGGCUCAAUUGGUUGAAGUGUCGCCCCAUGUACCAGAAGGUCACAGGUUUGAUUACUGAAAGGUUUCUAAGAGAAGUGAACUGGUUGAAGAUAAAGAGGUGACUUGAUUGAUGGACCAAGGGAACUGGUUCUUGGUUCUAGUUUCAGACCCCACUCCUAUUUCCUCCUGAGACGGGCUCGGACUCCCUCUCCUGAUUCAACUAGCUCCUUCUCCUCAGGAAUGGACUUACUCUAGUCUUCCUUGUACAUACUCAACUGUACCUCCCUGAAAUAUGACAAUGACAUGCCCCGAAUGUCAAGAACCACAACUGCAUGAGUACUGAUGACCUGUUUCCUUCCUAAAGUAUUAACCUACGAAGAACUGAUAUAACUUUCCAGUGACUAGAAUACUUCUAUCAUCCAGGGCAUCCAUUUUCUGCAUCAAGGUGCCUUGGAAGCUCACCUAUUAAUUGGACUUAUCAAUUGGGAAGUUGCUUGUUCAAAAUGGAUUCAUAACAAAGAGAAGUCUUUUGAGAGUUAUUUAAUUCAAGCUCCAGUGAAACCUGAAUAGUAAGCCCUUUCUAGUGACUGGAGUGCUCAAACCCUACAUAGUGCUUGCCAAACUCUUGUUCUCUGACAAAAACUUUUUGGCCUCUAAGCAGACAAUUUUUUUCAUCUUUGUUAGUUACAAUCAUGUUUUAGUGAAGUCCACCAGAAACUGCACCCUCAUCUUCCUCUACCAGAAGUACAUGUAAAAUCCCCUGGAUAGAUAAUUUUAGUAAUUAUGCAUGGUUUGGAUAGUUUUAACUUGGUGUAAUUUAAUUUCCAAAUUACUGGAGGUGGUCUCCCUUUAUUCCUUUAUUGAGUACAAGUCUUCUUUUAUCCCUGUUUGGUUUUACAUAUUGUGUCUGUUCAGUAAUUUAACUGAAAUAUUCAAGUGGAGUCACGUUUUAUUUUAAAGUACAAUAGUGGAGCUCAGCUGGUGUGGCUCACCAGUUUGAUUCCCCAUCAGGGCACAUGCCCAGGUUUGGGCCUGAUGC